GACAGAGGGGGCGAGCGUUGUCCGGGGUCACUGGGCGUAAAGCGCGCGCAGGCGGCAACCUUAGUGUCGUGUGAAAGCCCCCGGCUCAACCGGGGGAGGCCAUGGCAAACUGGGUCGCUCGAGCUGCGGAGAGGCUCCUCGAAUUGCCGGUGUAGCGGUGAAAUGCGUAGAGAUCGGCAGGAAGGCCAAGGGGGAAGCCAGGGGGCUGGCCGCAGGCUGACGCUGAGGCGCGACAGCGUGGGGAGCAAACCGG
Molecule: ribosomal RNA, 253 nt
Filed under: uncultured bacterium
Lineage: Bacteria
Description: partial 16S ribosomal RNA
Rfam family: Bacterial small subunit ribosomal RNA
Source: RNAcentral